UAGUAACUGCGAGUGAAGCGGGAAGAGCUCAAAUUUAAAAUCUGGCGUGCCUUUGGCCGUCCGAGUUGUAGUCUGGAGAAGUGUUUUCUGCGCUGGACCGUGUACAAGUCCCUUGGAACAGGGCGUCGUAGAGGGUGAGAAUCCCGUCUUUGACACGGACUACCAGUGCUCUGUGAUGCGCUCUCAAAGAGUCGAGUUGUUUGGGAAUGCAGCUCAAAAUGGGUGGUAAAUUCCAUCUAAAGCUAAAUACAGGCGAGAGACCGAUAGCGAACAAGUACCGUGAGGGAAAGAUGAAAAGCACUUUGGAAAGAGAGUUAAACAGUACGUGAAAUUGCUGAAAGGGAAACGCUUGAAGUCAGUCGCGUCUGCCAGGACUCAGCCUCGCUUCUGCUUGGUGCACUUUCUGGUUGACGGGCCAGCGUCGAUUUUGAUCGUCAGAAAAAGUUGAAGGGAAUGUGGCACCUUUCGAGGUGUGUUAUAGCCUUUCAUCACAUAUGGCGGUUGGGAUCGAGGACCGCAGCAUGCCUUUAUGGCCGGGGCUUUGCCCAUGUAACGUGCUUAGGAUGCUGGCUUAAUGGCUUUAAGCGACCCGUCUUGAAACACGGACCAAGGAGUCUAACAUGCCUGCGAGUGUUUGAGUGGUAAAACUCGAGCGCGCAAUGAAAGUGAUAGUUGAGACCUCUGUUGUGGAGGGCAUCGACGCCUGGACUUGAUCUACGGAGACGGUUCCACGGUAGAGCAUGUAUGUUGGGACCCGAAAGAUGGUGAACUAUGCCUGAAUAGGGUGAAGCCAGAGGAAACUCUGGUGGAAGCUCGUAGCGAUUCUGACGUGCAAAUCGAUCGUCAAAUUUGGGUAUAGGGGCGAAAGACUAAUCGAACCAUCUAGUAGCUGGUUCCUGCCGAAGUUUCCCUCAGGAUAGCAGAAACUCAUAUCAGAUUUAUGUGGUAAAGCGAAUGAUUAGAGGCCUUGGGGUUGAAACAACCUUAACCUAUUCUCAAACUUUAAAUAUGUAAGAACGGGCCGUCAC
Molecule: ribosomal RNA, 1028 nt
Filed under: Sarcodon sp.
Lineage: Eukaryota; Fungi; Basidiomycota; Agaricomycetes; Thelephorales; Thelephoraceae
Description: partial large subunit ribosomal RNA
Rfam family: Eukaryotic large subunit ribosomal RNA
Source: RNAcentral